This 485-nucleotide ribosomal RNA is filed under the name uncultured bacterium. Its description in RNAcentral is "bacterial SSU rRNA". It matches the Rfam family "Bacterial small subunit ribosomal RNA", at positions 903 to 1397 of the family's 1533-position model. The record is from RNAcentral.
AAAGGAAUAGACGGGGGCCCGCACAAGCAGUGGAUUAUGUGGUUUAAUUCGAAGCAACGCGAAGAACCUUACCAGGGUUUGACAUGGGAAUGACCGGCCUGGAGAUAGGCUUUUCUUCGGACAUUCCACACAGGUGGUGCAUGGUUGUCGUCAGCUCGUGUCGUGAGAUGUUGGGUUAAGUCCCGCAACGAGCGCAACCCCUAUUGUUAGUUGCUACGCGAGAGCACUCUAGCGAGACUGCCGUUGACAAAACGGAGGAAGGUGGGGACGACGUCAAAUCAUCAUGCCCCUUAUGUCCUGGGCUACACACGUAAUACAAUGGCGCAAACAGAGGGAAGCGAAACUGCGAAGUGGAGCAAAUCCCCAAACAGCGUCCCAGUUCGGAUCGCAGGCUGCAACCCGCCUGCGUGAAGUCGGAAUUGCUAGUAAUCGCGGAUCAGCAAGCCGCGGUGAAUACGUUCCCGGGCCUUGUACACACCGCCCGU